This 65-nucleotide transfer RNA is filed under the name Dipodomys ordii (Ord's kangaroo rat). It matches the Rfam family "tRNA". Rfam says of the family: Transfer RNA (tRNA) molecules are approximately 80 nucleotides in length. The record is from Rfam by way of RNAcentral. Lineage: Eukaryota; Metazoa; Chordata; Mammalia; Rodentia; Heteromyidae.
GGUGGCUCAGUGGUAGAGUCCUUGCCUUGCAUGCAUGAAGCCCUGGGUUCGAUUCCUCAGCACCA